This 28-nucleotide non-coding RNA is filed under the name Mus musculus (house mouse). The record is from RNAcentral. Lineage: Eukaryota; Metazoa; Chordata; Mammalia; Rodentia; Muridae.
UGACUCAGAUGGGACCCUAAGUAGCCAA